CUGUUGGCUAGUUCUUGGUGUGCAGAGCCUUGAGUUUCAAACCUCUGGAUCAGCGUCAGUCUCUACCAGAGGGAGGCAGAGGUUCUGUCCUGGAACCAUGGUUUCCAUAUAAGCUAGAGUACUUCCGUCUAGCAGAGGACCUGAGCGUUUAUGUAUGACUAAAAGGCAUGAGUUAAACAAGAGGUUUUCCUAGUUAUAGCUGAGGGGAAAAUAUUGAGUAAAAGACUUUCCUGAGAUGUUCCUCAUGGUGGUGCUAAAAGGAGGAGGGGAGGCCUGGAUUGCAGAGGAGAAAAAAAAUGCUGACUCCAGUAUCCAGAAAAAUGUUCAACUUCCUCCCUUCAACCUCUAGAAUUACCAGGGGCUCCUGAAUGGUAAUGAGAGUCUGAGCUAUGGGAGCUGGGGAGUCGAGCCCCAGGACCCCUCAGUCCUGCUGGGCCGUUUCUAAGACUGGUUCUGCACCCGGUGACCUACAACUCCAGGAACAGUCUUCCUUCCAGUGGUCUCCAUCACAGGCUGGACAGGGUCGGGGUAGCUUCCUCUUGCUACCUGGGCAAUCCUCAAAGUGCCCUGAUUUGCCGCACUUGUGUCAGUUAACAGGUGCCCCUCAGGAAUCCUGGGUUUUACAGGCCUGAAGAAUUGCCAAUAGACCCUCUGCUUCUUUCUUAUGCUUUCUCUCUUUCUCUUGAGCCUCCUCCAGAUCUUUAUUGUAAAAACCAAGGUGGCCAUCUCCGGGAGGUUUCCUAAAGUGCUAUCUGGUUAUAUGGCUUGCUUUUGCAGCUUCCUCCUGAUAUCAGGAGCUGCCUGAGUAAUAAACUUAUUCUUCAGAAUUAGUUGUUUCUCAACUGAAUCAGGAGAUAGCGAGGUACACCUCACCAAGGCCUCUUCUUAUCCUUUCUAGAAAGGCAAAGGUAUUCUCAUCUGGUCCUAAUUCUAGUUCUUUGUAGGCCUUCCAAUUUGUGCAUCUCCUAUGUUAUCACUGGGGUCCCAUUUAGGUCCUCAAGUGGUACUGCUGUCUUUCCAAUUGGAUAAGGCUCUUCCCACUCUGUGGCACUAUGAGAUACAAAGCUCAUCUCCGAAUUUCUUUGCUGUUUGCUGGGCUGCCUAUUUCUCAGUAGUGGUCAGGGUUUGAUUUAAGAGUAACCUAUUAUCCUUCCAGGAGAGCUCAAAUACUUCUGUUAAAUUCUGGAAGGCCUCUAUACAUGAAUGAAGUUGGGGCUUUCUCAGAGAAAAUUUUAGAAUCUGAGGGUUAAAGGAGUCCCAGUGAUCCAGGCUGCACUUGACGUGAUUCCAGGCUGAAGAUAGGUUGUUAUUCACCUAUGGUGUGUCCCCGCCCUCUGGUGUCAAUGAUCUUUGGGGUCCCUCAGAUCUAUUUCUUCUUUUGAUUUUCCAAACUGGAGCUUGGAAAAUACAUUCAAGUAAUCUAAUUUGGGCAAGGAACUCUAAUGGAGGUGUUGGCCUUAAAUCUUUUAGAGCAUUCCUUGACUGAUAGGUAAUGAACAGAGCCAGAUCACAGAAUUCGAGGAAAUGGGAGUGAUUAACCUCCAAACACAGCCCCGUCUUCCCAUCCAGGAGUCCUUAUACUCAGAGGCAGAACAGGUAUCUUAGAAAAUGAAGGAGUUGGUUUGGCUCAUU
RNAcentral lists this long non-coding RNA (1632 nucleotides) under Homo sapiens (human). RNAcentral's name for it is "HSALNT0085579". The record is from RNAcentral. Lineage: Eukaryota; Metazoa; Chordata; Mammalia; Primates; Hominidae.